Molecule: RNA transcript, 5317 nt
Organism: Amblyraja radiata (thorny skate)
Lineage: Eukaryota; Metazoa; Chordata; Chondrichthyes; Rajiformes; Rajidae
Gene: tfcp2
Gene name: transcription factor CP2
Exons: 17
Source: RefSeq, a predicted model, not a curated record
UGGGCGGGCUGGAGCUGGAGCGCGAGCGCGGGUCGUGUUGUCCGCGACCCAGCCUCAGCGGGACGGCAUCCUCGUCCUCCGCCUCUCCUCUAUGGCGUUCUUUUUAAUGCAUACGCGCGCGUUUUAUCCACUGUAAAGCACCGUUAAAGCGGUUUAAUUAUUUUUGUCGUGGGGCGACCCGUUUCUCUGCCUGGAUCGCAUCUCUCUGACUGAAGCCCGGGAUCACAUCUAUCAUCUUGAUUACGGACUGUAUUGACCGCGGCGAUGGCCUGGGCGCUGAAGAUGCCGAUGCCGGACGAGGUUAUUGAAUCCGGCCUGGUGCAAGAUUUCGACGCCAGUUUGUCUGGAAUCGGCCAGGAGUUAGGGGCAGGAGCCUACAGUAUGAGUGAUGUCCUUGCAUUGCCAAUCUUCAAACAGGAAGAGUCCAACUUGCCAGCGGAGGAUGAGAAUGAACUACUCCCGUUUCAAUAUGUCCUGUGUGCAGCGACUUCUCCUGCAGUAAAGCUCCAUGAUGAGACACUUACAUACCUUAACCAAGGGCAAUCUUAUGAAAUUCGAAUGCUUGACAAUCGGAAUAUUGGGGAGUUGCCUGAAAUCAAUGGUAAAUAUGUGAAGAGUAUAAUUCGAGUGGUAUUCCAUGACCGCCGUUUACAGUAUACUGAACACCAGCAAUUGGAAGGAUGGAGGUGGAACCGACCAGGAGAUAGGAUCCUGGAUUUGGAUAUUCCAUUGUCAGUAGGCAUUGUUGACCCCAGAGCAAAUCCAACACAACUAAAUACAGUGGAGUUUCUUUGGGAUCCUUCAAAGAGAACUUCUGUAUUUAUCCAGGUGCAUUGCAUUAGUACUGAAUUCACAACUAGGAAACACGGAGGAGAAAAAGGAGUGCCUUUUCGGAUUCAAAUAGAUACGUUCAAGGAGAAUGAGAGCAGUGAAUAUACAGAGCAUCUUCAUUCAGCUAGCUGUCAAAUCAAAGUAUUCAAGCCAAAAGGCGCUGAUAGAAAACAGAAAACAGACAGGGAAAAAAUGGAGAAGCGAACUCCUCAAGAGAAGGAAAAGUAUCAACCUUCUUAUGAUACAACUAUUCUCACAGAGUGUUCUCCCUGGCCAGAUAUUUCCUACGUUAACAACACAGCAUCUCCUGGAUUUACAAGUUCACAUGGCAGUUUUACCAUUGCUGAAGGGAAUGGAUCCCCUCAUCAUCAGCCUGAACCAGUUCCUGCAACCACUGAUACGUUAGGAUCCUUUCGAAAGUGGGCUUGUCGAGAACUGUCAGUGUCCCCCGUCACUGAAAAUCAGAAUCUGUUGGCAACAGCCACACCACAGGAUGCUCAGCAGUGGUUGCACAGAAAUCGAUUUUCUCCAUACUGCAGGCUCUUCGCAAACUUCUCUGGUGGAGAUCUGUUAAAGCUGACUAGAGAUGAUGUAAUCCAGAUCUGUGGUCCUGCAGAUGGUAUCCGGCUCUUUAAUGCUCUGAAAGGAAGGAUGGUUAGACCAAGGCUGACCAUUUACGUUUGUCAGGAAGCACAACAGGCCCGAGAGCAACAACACCAGAAGCAUGAAAAUGGUGAUUCUGCGAACAGUUCUUUUUAUGUGUACCAUGCAAUUUAUUUGGAAGAGUUAACAGCAAUUGAAAUGACAGAGAAGAUUGCUCAACUUUUCAAUAUUUCUCCCCGUCAAAUCCACCAGAUCUAUAAACAGGGCCCCACGGGUAUUCACGUGCUUGUGAGCGAUGAGAUGAUCCAAAACUUCCAGGAUGAAUCGUGUUUUGUUCUCGAUACCUUAAAAGCCGAGGGCAGUGACAGUUACCACAUAAUCCUCAAGUGACUGAUUUGCAAGGAUAACGUCUUCUGUGAAUGACCUUACCCCUACGUUGUGGCUCCUACUCCCAGCAGCAAUAUAUUUCCAAGCCGCAAAGACUCGAGUAUGCUGCUAUCUAUCUUGGCGCAGGAAUAACCGUGAUGGGAUUGUGCACAUGUUCAGCAGCCUGACGCAAGUGACCAACUUCUCUUGAAGCAGGUCCUAAAUUGUGGGCAAGAGGAUAGAUGGAGGAAAGAAGAACACCUGACAGAUGAAUGUGCGUGUUGUUCAACUUUGAUAUGAAAUUGUUCCUGAUAAGUGUGUUCGCUGCUGUUCUUGAUUUUGGGUGGGUGGGAGGGGAGGGGACGUGCAGCAAGCCCAGAGCUUGAUCAACUGUUUUUUCAUUCUUGAUUUGCACCUUUAUAUAUUUAUGUACACCAUCUUUAGUACCUGGCUGAAAAGUACAUCAUACAUGCAUUUUAUCUGGUUGAGUUUGCUUCCAUGUUGCAUCUGAGCUAAUAUUAGUACAGCCAUUUGCUACUUAUUUUGAAUUGCCACAGACUGUCAGCUCUUGUAACUCAAUCCAUGUUCAGUACUUUGCUUAAGCCUUUCCUGUACAGUCCUGGUAUGAUUUGAAAUCUACUUACCUCUGAGGGUAUGCAGUUCACUUUCAACUUGGUUAAGUAAUUGCAGUAAAGUAUUGGAUUGAUUUACUUAUUUCAUCCAUGUCUUGCCUUCUGAAAAUGAGAUCCCAUUUAUUUAGUUGGUUAUGUGCAAAAUUUGGAAAGGAUUUUUAAGCAAAAUAUUUUUGGACGUUAAUUUGGGAAAGGUUUCCUGUUCAAAGCAGUGCAAUAACUUGUCACAGUGUCCAUUAGCCAAAUGUAGACUUCCGGUUGAAAUCCUAAUCCAGGUGACCAUUCACAAGCAGUGGCUUGUUGGAGGAUUUUGCAAAUGCAAGGAUACAAGGAUGCCUGACAUCUCUCAAAUUUGCUUUCUCAUUUCUUCCUCAUUCCCAACCAACUGUGCACUUCAGCCACUCUAGCCAAGGUCUGAUCCACCUUAUUUAUGUGUGGUCACUUUUGCUCAUUUAAGAAGGAAUUACCUUGGAUACCAAUGAGCUGCCUGUGCUCUGCAUAUUCCUACACAGUCAAGUGAAAGCCAUGAAGACAGUAAGCUCAUCAAACAAGUUUCAAAUAACUUUUAAUGUGUAUAAAAUCAAAUUACGUUUCUGUCAGCAGCAAUGCUGGAACUUGUGUUCUGGUCUAAUCUUGAAUCUCUAUUUGGAAACAGCUUUUGUAAAAGGCUUUAUGAGAUGACAAGAAUCAGAUCCUCCUGUCUUAAUUCAGUGAAUUACUGUCAUGUUUCCUAUUGCAGAAUGUGGUUUGAACAGUGUAGAAAAGCAACAAGUAGAAUUUAUCCAAUGAAGCAGUUGCUUUUUGAAAGCUGCUGAACUUCCAGACAAAUCUUCUGCUUGAUAUGGUAAUAUCUUUUACUCCGAAUUCCCAAUCCUGUGAAAGUUUCCAAUCUUAUUCUUUACUGUUGUCGCUCAGAAAUAAUUGGAGAUUGAGCCUGAAUUUUGCCAACGUCUAUGCUUAUCAAUGCAACUUUUGAGUUGCUUGCUCAGUUGGUUUCUGUGAAUUAACAUGGAAAACUAUAAUGGAAAACCCCAGCAUAUUGAAAGAAGGGAGGAAGAUUUAAUAGAAGCAUUUUCAACUUAAAAAGAUCUUCCUUCACUAAAUCCACUUCACUAAAAUCCACUUUAUUCAGGAUAAUACCUUCCCAUCAAUGGCCUGUGAUGCAGUAACAUUUCAGUUGUAUUUUUUGUAAUUGUCAGGAAAUUGAGUAAUCAAGGGCAAAAUUUUGAUCUUUAAUAUUUCAUUCAUACCAUAAUUCAUGAGCCUUUAUUUGGGCUAUUUGAAUGUGUCUAUGUAAUCAUCUGUGGCCUAUUGAAAUACAAACAGUAUCCAUUUUGAUGUCUAUAAUUAAACUACUUUAAGCCACUUUGAAACAGACAACAGAGGAAUGGCAAAAUGUACAUUAGGCUGUGAAUAACCUCCCAUUCAGUCAAUGACUAAAUGGCCCAAGUGACGAUACUAAUUUGCAGGAGAGAUGGAAAGGUGAAGUUACUUGGAACCCUGCCUUGUGAAACACGAGAUCGGUGUUGCAAUUUGGCAGAAGGUAUCAGAAUACAGAAUAUCUAUAGUUGAGGGAUUAAAGGCUGAAUUCUGGUUGGAAUAAGUUCUCCUGGAUUGUAAGGAUUGGAUGCAGAUUGAGUUUGGAGCAACAUUAACUCAACUUUGUAUGGUUUUUGAGAUGGUCAAAUGGCUCCUGGUUAAUUAGUGUUGGCCCAGGAAAUGUUGCUACAUCCCUUAUUUUGUACAUGAGAGUCGUAUGGUCAUGCAGCACAGAACCAGGUUCUUGAGCCCACUGUAGGCAUCAAUACUCAUCUAUAUUAAUCUCAUUUGCCAGCACUUUCAUCAAGGCACAAUAAAGCAGCCCUAAGCAUUCAAAGAAAUUCGCAUUGGCCGUAGAAUCUGCCUUUACAUUCACUUGAAACACGACUGUCCUUUUGCAGAGAAACAUACCAACAGAAGUGCUUUAAGCCUGAGUUGGAAGGAUUUCUUGUUAAAUAAAAAUUCCAUUAAAACCAUGCAAAACUAAAUGGAUCUGUAGAUCAAAAUCAGUUUUGUUCCACUCUUACAUAACAGACCAAAUGGCAAUCUCUAUCAGUUAUGGCUAACCAAUGUACUGCCUGAAUGAAAGCAAUCUGUAUUUUUAGUACCUGGGAUAACAUGACAUGAUUUAGUGACGUGAGUGCAAUAAUCAUUAAUUAAUUCACAAAUGAUGGGUGCUAUUAAUGUGUUGCAUUUGUACGAAGGGUGACUUUUGACCAUCUCAAAUCACCACCUGUCUUUUUUUCGAGAUGUUCAAGAAUCCCUUCCCAAGAGAUGGUGUGCCAAGCCACCACAAAUUAGAAAUGAGGAACUGCAGGUGCUGGUUUAUAUAAAAAGACACGAUGUAUUGGAGUACUUCAGCAGGACAGGCAGCAUCUCUGGAAAACAUGGAUAGCCAUGUUAUCCAGAGAUGCUGCCUGACCUGCUGAGUAACUCCAGCACUUUCUCUUAUUUUCCACCAUAAGUUAGGCCAGCUUUUGGUUUCUUUUGUUUCAUCCCUGGCAUAACUUCUGACUGCAAUUCUGGUUUGGUGGGCCCAGUAGUUUGGAUUGCAUUCUGUAUUGGAAUCUUGCAUAUUAUCCAUCUUCCCCAAAACAUCUUGUAUUUCUCUGCAAAGAGAAUAUGGAAGUUUGAGAGGCUUUUAAUAGCCAUGUUGUGUCUAGGUAUGAUACUCCAGCUGUUGCAGAUUGUGGAAUAUGGCCACCUUGUCUUGUCUUUUUUCCCAUCAGUUUCAUUUGUGAUAGUCAUAGAGUGAUGCAGUGUGGAAAGAGCGCUUUGGCCCAACUUGCCCACACCGGCCAACAAUGUCCCAGCUACACUAGUCCCACUUGCCUGCACUUGGUCCA